RNAcentral lists this ribosomal RNA (450 nucleotides) under uncultured bacterium. Its description in RNAcentral is "partial 16S ribosomal RNA". It matches the Rfam family "Bacterial small subunit ribosomal RNA", at positions 330 to 794 of the family's 1533-position model. The record is from RNAcentral.
GCCAGACUCCUACGGGAGGCAGCCGUGGGGAAUAUUGGGCAAUGGGCGCAAGCCUGACCCAGCAACGCCGCGUGAAGGAAGAAGGCUUUCGGGUUGUAAACUUCUUUUGUCAGGGACGAAGCAAGUGACGGUACCUGACGAAUAAGCCACGGCUAACUACGUGCCAGCAGCCGCGGUAAUACGUAGGUGGCAAGCGUUAUCCGGAUUUACUGGGUGUAAAGGGCGUGUAGGCAGGACUGCAAGUCAGAUGUGAAAACCACGGGCUCAACCUGUGGCCUGCAUUUGAAACUGUAGUUCUUGAGUACUGGAGAGGCAGACGGAAUUCCUAGUGUAGCGGUGAAAUGCGUAGAUAUUAGGAGGAACACCAGUGGCGAAGGCGGGCUGCUGGACAGCAACUGACGCUGAGGCGCGAAAGCGUGGGGAGCAAACAGGAUUAGAUACCCUAGUAAC